CGGGGCGUAGCGCAGCCUGGUAGCGCACCAGCAUGGGGUGCUGGUGGUCGGAGGUUCAAAUCCUCUCGCCCCGACCA
RNAcentral lists this transfer RNA (77 nucleotides) under Cycloclasticus sp. Its description in RNAcentral is "tRNA-Pro". It matches the Rfam family "tRNA". Rfam says of the family: Transfer RNA (tRNA) molecules are approximately 80 nucleotides in length. Their secondary structure includes four short double-helical elements and three loops (D, anti-codon, and T loops). The record is from RNAcentral. Lineage: Bacteria; Pseudomonadati; Pseudomonadota; Gammaproteobacteria; Thiotrichales; Piscirickettsiaceae.